CAGUAGCCACGGGAAUACGGAGGGAGCUAGCGUUGUUCGGAAUUACUGGGCGUAAAGCGCGCGUAGGCGGUUACUCAAGUCAGAGGUGAAAGCCCGGGGCUCAACCCCGGAACUGCCUUUGAAACUAGGUGACUAGAAUCUUGGAGAGGUCAGUGGAAUUCCGAGUGUAGAGGUGAAAUUCGUAGAUAUUCGGAAGAACACCAGUGGCGAAGGCGACUGACUGGACAAGUAUUGACGCUGAGGUGCGAAAGCGUGGGGAGCAAACAGGAUUAGAUACCCGCGUAGUCCCUGUCUCUUAUAC
This 301-nucleotide ribosomal RNA is filed under the name uncultured bacterium. RNAcentral's name for it is "partial 16S ribosomal RNA". It matches the Rfam family "Bacterial small subunit ribosomal RNA", at positions 509 to 807 of the family's 1533-position model. The record is from RNAcentral.